ACAACAACCAUUAUUUUGCAUUAUUGUAUAAAAAGUUACCUUCUUCUAUAUGCACUUAUAUGAAUACAUAACUGAAAUGUUAAGUUUAGGAUAUAGCCUAUUAAUCUAAUAACAAUGCAAAAAAAAAAAAAAAAAACUUCACAAACACUUUAUAGCUUCAAGUUAAUAUAGAGUGCUACCUAUUUUAGAAAUCCUGUUAACAUUUCACGGUUUAAUUUCAGAUCGUGAGAACCAGUCUGUCCUGAUUACUGGAGAAUCUGGUGCAGGAAAGACUGUGAA
Sinocyclocheilus anshuiensis is the source of this 279-nucleotide long non-coding RNA. RefSeq lists it as uncharacterized. NCBI's taxonomy places the organism in Eukaryota, Metazoa, Chordata, Actinopteri, Cypriniformes, Cyprinidae. The transcript has 2 exons. The record is from RefSeq and is a predicted model, not a curated record.